AGAGUUUGAUCCUGGCUCAGAUUGAACGCUGGCGGCAUGCCUUACACAUGCAAGUCGAACGGCAGCAUGAUCUAGCUUGCUAGAUUGAUGGCGAGUGGCGAACGGGUGAGUAAUACAUCGGAACGUGCCCUGUAGUGGGGGAUAACUAGUCGAAAGAUUAGCUAAUACCGCAUACGACCUGAGGGUGAAAGUGGGGGACCGCAAGGCCUCAUGCUAUAGGAGCGGCCGAUGUCUGAUUAGCUAGUUGGUGAGGUAAAGGCUCACCAAGGCGACGAUCAGUAGCUGGUCUGAGAGGACGAUCAGCCACACUGGGACUGAGACACGGCCCAGACUCCUACGGGAGGCAGCAGUGGGGAAUUUUGGACAAUGGGGGCAACCCUGAUCCAGCAAUGCCGCGUGUGUGAAGAAGGCCUUCGGGUUGUAAAGCACUUUUGUCCGGAAAGAAAUCGCACUUACUAAUAUUAGGUGUGGAUGACGGUACCGGAAGAAUAAGGACCGGCUAACUACGUGCCAGCAGCCGCGGUAAUACGUAGGGUCCAAGCGUUAAUCGGAAUUACUGGGCGUAAAGCGUGCGCAGGCGGUUGUGCAAGACCGAUGUGAAAUCCCCGGGCUUAACCUGGGAAUUGCAUUGGUGACUGCACGGCUAGAGUGUGUCAGAGGGGGGUAGAAUUCCACGUGUAGCAGUGAAAUGCGUAGAGAUGUGGAGGAAUACCGAUGGCGAAGGCAGCCCCCUGGGAUAACACUGACGCUCAUGCACGAAAGCGUGGGGAGCAAACAGGAUUAGAUACCCCGGUAGUCC
RNAcentral lists this ribosomal RNA (799 nucleotides) under uncultured Ralstonia sp. Its description in RNAcentral is "bacterial SSU rRNA". It matches the Rfam family "Bacterial small subunit ribosomal RNA", at positions 8 to 796 of the family's 1533-position model. Lineage: Bacteria; Pseudomonadati; Pseudomonadota; Betaproteobacteria; Burkholderiales; Burkholderiaceae. The record is from RNAcentral.